GGAAUUGCUAGUAAUGGCAGGUCAGCAUACUGCCGUGAAUACGUUCCCGGGCCUUGUACACACCGCCCGUCACACCAUGAGAGUUGGGAAUACCCGAAGCCUGUGAGCUAACAUUUAUGAGGCAGCAGUCGAAGGUAGAAUCAAUGAUUGGGGUGAAGUCGUAACAAGGUACC
This 173-nucleotide ribosomal RNA is filed under the name uncultured bacterium. RNAcentral's name for it is "partial 16S ribosomal RNA". It matches the Rfam family "Bacterial small subunit ribosomal RNA", at positions 1328 to 1500 of the family's 1533-position model. The record is from RNAcentral.